RNAcentral lists this long non-coding RNA (2199 nucleotides) under Gallus gallus (chicken). Its description in RNAcentral is "lncRNA (ENSGALG00000048293.2)". The record is from RNAcentral. Lineage: Eukaryota; Metazoa; Chordata; Aves; Galliformes; Phasianidae.
UUGAGAGUUAACAACCAGCCGAUGGCCCACAAUUUCCCUGCAUCCCAUGGAAAUUCCUGUUCACUCAAUGCAGCUGAGGCAAGCCAAAGUGUUGGAUAGCUAUGAUUUAGAAGAUAUGAAAAUGUGUUAUUGGAAGAUUUCUUCCUAACCUCCUUUUUUUGUAAUGUCAACACAAAAAAAUGCUGACAUUCCUGACUAGCCUGCACGUGUGAGGAAAUCCAGAUUUGUGGUGUUCCUUUGUGAAAUAUUGUCCCUGCAAUCUCCUGGAAAAUUCAGAAUCUAAAAGGAUUUUUCUGAUGGGUAAACAUCAUUUACUAGUGUCUAUUUGCAUACUGCUCUUGGAGGAGCUGAACACUACUGUAUUCAGAAGAGGUGUGUUGACCUGCUGAAGCUGUUUGUCAGUGAGGAGGAUCACAGUGUGGUGAUAUUUGGGAAGAAGAAUAAGAGUAGAAGAACUUGUACCUAUGAAAAGCACUGUCACACUUCUCACCAGGAAAGAAGAAUUAAAAAAUAGCCUUUGGUUACUGAUGAGUGUAAGUGAAUUCUUCUCUCACUGCUAAAGCUAGGUAUAAUUGCCUUGAGAUUUGCUAGCUCUGUAAGUCAGCUUUUGGUUACUUCAGUACAAAAACUGAGAACAGUAAGACAUUCUAGCUAAGUGUUUUUUCCUCUUCUUUUUGCUUAGAUUUUAUGGGAUAUUUGUAUUAAAUACCUAUAAUGCCAUGUAAAAUGUCAAUAAAAUUGAAAAGAUGCUCCUAUUUCAAAGUGAAUUUAUGAUAAAAAUGCAAAUAUCUGUAGGUGCCUGUGAAUUUAAUGCGUUCACCUUGGCAUGUGGUACAAACAGUUGCUAUAAAUCACUACCUUUCUUGUAAAUUUCCUGUCAUGUAGUGUGAGGGGAAAAAGCAAUGAUGGUUUUCCCCCAUAAUCUGUUUCCACAGUGUAAGGAAAGUGAAUGAGCUUUACCCUUUAGCAUGGGAGCGUGGCCUGAAUCUAGCAUCUUAUUCCAAACCGAGCCAACCAUUGCUUUGUAGAAUUAUUGACUUCACUCCUCUGUUGCAGUAUAUCAUUCUUACAGUAUGCUUUCAUUUAGUUGCAAAGCCUAGCCACUCUUCUGGCAGCUGGCUUUACAUGCCAACAUGGAUUUCCAAAAUUUUCAGUCAUUAUCUCAAUACCACAACAAAGAAAAAAUGUUAAUUAACAAGCACAUUUUCCUAUUUGUUGAAGUUUUCUAGAAGUGACAUUUGUUGUUUUUUUGCAGAGAGGGGUUUGUUUUUACUUUGAGCGUGUGUCCAGCAACCUAUGUGUUAAAUACACUGAUCGAUAAUAGGCAAGUGUGGCUCAUCACUCAGAGAUGUAAAUCACUAGGAAUGUAUUUUCUCUUUUGGAAUUCUAUGUUUUUAAUGUAUUUUGCCCUUUGGGUUUUCAUGUGCUCUAUAUCUGUAUUUUUAGAAAUUAUUUGAAUCACUGGCUGGCUUUUCAGAAAAGUCACAGGAAUAAUUUCCCUGCAGGGACCUAUCCAAAUUUUAGAGCAGCGAAUUAGAAAGCAUUAAAAUCCACAUCUAGAUAUCUGUUUUCCACAUAUCUUCAAAAAGGUAAACCUUUCCACUUGAGUUACUAUGAACUUUUGCUUGAGUAUUGAUUGAGAAGAAACUGAGUGAAAUUCUUCUUAUCUUGCAAUUAUACAGUAAUGGAGCAAUUGUUUUGGGUCAACAGCACAAGAAUUUUAUACAUAUAUAUUUGGUGAAGGUUUAUUUUCUCUGAGGUUAAUGGUAGAGCAUUGAAAAUGAAACAAUAGCAUCAUAGGAAUGAAGACCCACCUACAUAUUGAAAUGCUCCACUAUCUUGUGCAUCAGAUUUAAGUUAAGCCAUUGCUUUGCUCUUAAUAUCCUUUGUUGCCUGUUGUGCUGUAUUUGUUUCUCAUUUGAGUGUAUCUGCAAUCCUCCACUGGCUAAUUUUUGAUCAUAUUCUGCAAUCUUGUUCUGUUUCGACCAGUGAGAUGCUCAAAGCAGCUAGAAGACCUUUUUGGAGUAAGAUACCUGAUAAGAGUUCAUGCCUUUACACAGCAGCAACUACAUAUCCAAAUUUUAACCUGUUUUUAGACUUAAUAAAACAAUUGAGAGCAUUACUUGAGCAAAGACUGAAAGAGAUUUCUGAAGCAGUUAUGCUUUAAAUAAAAUAAACAGCAACACAGAAAGUAUUUUC